CCCCUAGAUGUUCUGGGCCGCACGCGCGCUACACUGACCGGUGCAACAAGCAUCCGUCCUUGGCCGACAGGCCCGGGCAAUCUUUGAACGCCGGUCGUGAUGGGGAUAGACUUUUGCAAUUUUUGGUCUUCAACGAGGAAUUCCUAGUAAACGCAAGUCAUCAACUUGCAUUGAUUACGUCCCUGCCCUUUGUACACACCGCCCGUCGCACCUACCGAUUGAAUGGUCCGGUGAAGCCUCCGGAUUGGCGCGCACCUCGGUGCCGCCGAGAAGUUGGCUAAACCUUACCAUUUAGAGGAAGGUGAAGUCGUAACA
RNAcentral lists this ribosomal RNA (315 nucleotides) under uncultured eukaryote. RNAcentral describes it as "partial 18S ribosomal RNA". It matches the Rfam family "Eukaryotic small subunit ribosomal RNA", at positions 1470 to 1796 of the family's 1831-position model. The record is from RNAcentral.